RNAcentral lists this ribosomal RNA (395 nucleotides) under uncultured archaeon. RNAcentral's name for it is "bacterial SSU rRNA". It matches the Rfam family "Archaeal small subunit ribosomal RNA", at positions 132 to 509 of the family's 1478-position model. The record is from RNAcentral.
CCGGGAAACUGGGGCUAAUACCAGAUAGGCGAGGACGCCUGGAAUGGUUCUUCACUCAAAGGGCUUUGGAAACAUGCUUUUCAAAGUCGCCUGGGGAUGGGGCCGCGUCCGAUCAGGUUGCUGGUGAGGUAAUGGCUCACCAAGCCUAUAACCGGUACGGGCCGUGAGAGCGGUAGCCCGGAGAUGGGCACUAAUACAAGGGCCCAUGCCCUACGGGGCGCAGCAGUCGCGAAAACUCCGCAAUGCACGAAAGUGUGACGGGGCUACCCCGAGUGCCGUCCGCUGAGGAUGGCUUUUCCUCUGUGUAACUAGCCGGGGGAAUAAGGAGAGGGCAAGACUGGUGUCAGCCGCCGCGGUAAUACCAGCUCUCCGAGUUGUAGGGAUGAUUAUUGGGC